CUGUAGCUCAAUUGGUAGAGCGCCGCAUUUGCAAUGCGGAGGUAAGCGGUUCGAAACCGCUCAG
This 64-nucleotide transfer RNA is filed under the name Parcubacteria group bacterium RIFCSPHIGHO2_01_FULL_45_26. Its description in RNAcentral is "tRNA-Ala". It matches the Rfam family "tRNA", at positions 5 to 66 of the family's 71-position model. From Rfam's summary of the family: Transfer RNA (tRNA) molecules are approximately 80 nucleotides in length. Their secondary structure includes four short double-helical elements and three loops (D, anti-codon, and T loops). The record is from RNAcentral.